UCUAAUACCGGAUACGACUACCGACCGCAUGGUCUGGUGGUGGAAAGCUCCGGCGGUGAAGGAUGAGCCCGCGGCCUAUCAGCUUGUUGGUGGGGUGAUGGCCUACCAAGGCGACGACGGG
RNAcentral lists this ribosomal RNA (121 nucleotides) under Streptomyces nigrescens. RNAcentral describes it as "partial 16S rRNA". It matches the Rfam family "Bacterial small subunit ribosomal RNA", at positions 162 to 283 of the family's 1533-position model. Lineage: Bacteria; Bacillati; Actinomycetota; Actinomycetes; Kitasatosporales; Streptomycetaceae. The record is from RNAcentral. RNAcentral also lists the same sequence under 2 other names.